Molecule: long non-coding RNA, 931 nt
Filed under: Capra hircus (goat)
Lineage: Eukaryota; Metazoa; Chordata; Mammalia; Artiodactyla; Bovidae
Description: lncRNA (ENSCHIG00000004809.1)
Source: RNAcentral
GCAUUAUUUUUGUUUGGUUAGUUUGACUUUUAUUGAAGUAUAGUUGAUUAAUAAUACUGUGUUAGUUUCAGGUGUUCACCACAGCAAUUCAUAUAUAUAUAACUUAUCUAUAUAUAAUUUAUAUAUAUAUAAUUUUGGUGGAGGAAAUGGGAAACAUUGCUUACACAAAUUCUGACACCUUCUCUUGUGGUUUAGAAAAAUGAUGGAUAUGGAAGGCAGAAGAGUGUACAAAGAGAGGAAAGAAACGGUAGGACAGGAAAAUAAAUGCAAGGCCAUAACAUUUUGAAGGCCAGGAAAGGGGCUGCGCGUGCUGCAUUAGCCUAAACGUGGCGGAAGGAAAGCAGGGAGGCAGGGGGGUGCUUCUCCCGCAAGUCCUGAUGGGAGGGGUUUCCAGAAAACGGCUGGCCGCGCGUGCGGUGCUUUACUCACGUCUGGAGACAGCUCAAUAAAGCAGCUUUUCCUUUUCCAGAAACACGCCAAUGCACCGAGACAAGACUUGAAUGAAGCGAUAAUGUAAAUUAGAGAAAGGAGAUAAAAAUAACCUCUGGAUAUCCCUCUUGUAUGAGAUUUAUUCUGGAUGAAGCAUUAAGAUCGUUACUGGAAGUGUAUUACUUAUUAUUUUACCCACCUCCAAGAACUGGGGCAGGAGGACUAAUUCAUAUUUUAAAUGGAUUAUGGCUCUUAUUAUAGCAAUUCUAUACUUAGAAAGGAGCUUUAGUUGGCAGAGCUACAGAGUGUGUUUCAGUUAUGAAGGAACACAUUUUAACAUCAUGCCAGCAGGAUUUGCAUUUCUUUCUUAAAGAAAAUUUGAAGUAUUAACAUUUGACAGAUUGCUAGAGAAAACUGAGGAACAUCAUCAGUAGAACUGGAAACAUAACAUGGAAAAACCUAAGAUGCAAAGAUGAGUCUCAGAGAUGACCUAUGUUCAGAG